RNAcentral lists this ribosomal RNA (660 nucleotides) under Poecilochirus subterraneus. RNAcentral describes it as "partial large subunit ribosomal RNA". It matches the Rfam family "Eukaryotic large subunit ribosomal RNA", at positions 358 to 880 of the family's 3401-position model. The record is from RNAcentral. Lineage: Eukaryota; Metazoa; Arthropoda; Arachnida; Mesostigmata; Parasitidae.
GGAAAGUUGAAAAGAACUCUGAAGAGAGAGUUCAAUAGUACGUGAAACCAUAAUGAGUAAAACGGAUAACUGUACUAUUUUAGUGAUUUGCUUCUCAGCAGCUAGUCGUGAUAUUCGAUGGUGCGAGAAUUAGCUGUUUUUCAGCAAAAUUCACGUAGUUAGAAUGUUUCAAUAAGCUGCGAUUUGGUGCAUUUCCUAUCAUUAAAAAGCUUUAUGGUCCUUGCAGAGGCGUAUUGCAGUUCGCACUAUGUGCGAAGUAAUGUGCUGUGCUUUGUGACUGUUGAGUUUGGCUGAGAUUACUUUAGUCCGAGAUGCUUAAAGCUUUGGCGGCAUGUAUGUCUAGCAGAUUUGUUUAUUCUAGUCUGUGGCGACCAUGUUGUUACGGCUUGCGUCUCAUGUUUAAUGAUCAAGUACUAGUUAUUUGACCCGUCUUGAAACACGGACCAAGGAGUUCAAAUGGCACGCGAGUCUUUGGGUGUAAACAUCCAACGGCGAAGUGAAAUGCGAGUGUAUUGUUAUUUGUGAUAUUCACGAAGAAAUGAUAAGCUACUGAUGCUAUCAGGCAUUUGUAGACUACAAGCGUGUCGUUUGAGACCCGAAAGAUGGUGAUCUAUGCCUAGUCAAGAUGAAGCCAGAGGAAACUCUGGUGGAUGUCUGAAG